UCUUCCUUCGACMCAGGCACCUCUGGCAUCGUGGAGGAGCCUAUGGGAAGGACUGUCUUUGCUGAUCCACCUAGGCAUGAAGGCACGUGACUGGUUCAUCGUUCAGUACAUGCCCUCAUCUCUCUGGUAGAAGCUCUGCGUUCCCUCGAGAGGACAUCACCAGAGAUGCAACAGCACUGCUGUCCUCAUCCGCGGGGAAGGCUAAAGACGGGAACARUGUCCCAAAGCCWCUUCCCUGUCCUCGCUUCCAUACGUGCACUGCAUCUYGAGUGUGUUAAACCUGAGGUGUCAGCUCACCUGGAGUGGAACCGGACAAGCCCUGCCUGGGGAAAACCUCUGUCACAGUGUUUCCUGCCAGGAAACUUGGAGCUUAGGAGCAACUCUUCUGUGAUUUAUCAGUGACUCACGUGUUUGAGUAAAGCAAAACACACAAAGCCAAGCCCAGCUCAGYGGAAGGAAACAUGGGAUGAGCAAGCCUUGCGUGAUAGCCCAGGAUGCGCGCAUUGCGCUGAGCACGGGAUAAGGUCUCUGCUCGGCCCCCUGUAACUGGUGUUGUAAGAACCGAUCUGGAAACUGCUGACUCUUUCUGUGUUUGUUCACUUGUUAAACUUCAAUAAAUGUAUUAAUCUUAGCUCUUUUGUAUACUUC
Molecule: long non-coding RNA, 648 nt
Filed under: Dromaius novaehollandiae (emu)
Lineage: Eukaryota; Metazoa; Chordata; Aves; Casuariiformes; Dromaiidae
Description: lncRNA (ENSDNVG00000010220.1)
Source: RNAcentral